Molecule: ribosomal RNA, 301 nt
Filed under: uncultured bacterium
Lineage: Bacteria
Description: partial 16S ribosomal RNA
Rfam family: Bacterial small subunit ribosomal RNA
Source: RNAcentral
AGCCGCCGCGGUAAAACAGAGGGUGCGAGCGUUAAUCGGAUUUACUGGGCGUAAAGCGUGCGUAGGCGGCUUCUUAAGUCGGAUGUGAAAUCCCUGAGCUUAACUUAGGAAUUGCAUUCGAUACUGGGAAGCUAGAGUAUGGGAGAGGAUGGUAGAAUUCCAGGUGUAGCGGUGAAAUGCGUAGAGAUCUGGAGGAAUACCGAUGGCGAAGGCAGCCAUCUGGCCUAAUACUGACGCUGAGGUACGAAAGCAUGGGGAGCAAACAGGAUUAGAUACCCGCGUAGUCCCUGUCUCUUAUACA